AAGUAGAUAGCUUAACCUUCGGGAGGGCGUUUACCACGGUAUGAUUCAUGACUGGGGUGAAGUCGUAACAAGGUAACCGUAGGGGAACCUGCGGUUGGAUCACCUCCUUACCUAAAAUGAAGC
Molecule: ribosomal RNA, 123 nt
Filed under: Pasteurella multocida
Lineage: Bacteria; Pseudomonadati; Pseudomonadota; Gammaproteobacteria; Pasteurellales; Pasteurellaceae
Description: partial 16S ribosomal RNA
Rfam family: Bacterial small subunit ribosomal RNA (bases 1-110)
Source: RNAcentral